GACGAACGCUGGCGGCGUGCUUAACACAUGCCAGUCGAACGUGAUUUUUGUGCAAAUUCUUUCGGGACUGGACAUGAACUGAUAGUGGCGAACGGGUUAGUAACCCCUGAGCAUCCUACCUUACACAGGGGGCUAGCCGUUGGAACCGACGAUUAAUCCCGCAUCAGACCACAGAAUCGCAUGAUUUAGGGGUCAAAGAUUUAUCGGUGUCAGAAGGGCUCGCGUCUGAUUCGCUAGUUGGAAGGGGAAAGGCCUACCAAGGCGACGAUCAGUAGCCGGGAGGGGAGGAGGAAAGGCCAGAGUUGAACUGAGACACGGACCAAAAUGCUACGGAAGGGAGCAGAAGGGAAUAUGGCACAAGGGGGGGAAACCUGAUGAAGCGACGUGGGGGGAGAGAAGAAGGGGGUCGAAUCGUAAAGCUCUGUGCGAUGAGAAGAGAAUGACGGUAACAGAGGAGGAAGCCCCGGCUAAAUACGUG
RNAcentral lists this ribosomal RNA (478 nucleotides) under uncultured bacterium. RNAcentral's name for it is "partial 16S ribosomal RNA". It matches the Rfam family "Bacterial small subunit ribosomal RNA", at positions 28 to 507 of the family's 1533-position model. The record is from RNAcentral.